GCUGGCGGCGCGCCUAACACAUGCAAGUCGGAACGAGCGAGAGAGAGCUUGCUUUCUCGAGCGAGUGGCGAACGGGUGAGUAACGCGUGAGGAACCUGCCUCAAAGAGGGGGACAACAGUUGGAAACGACUGCUAAUACCGCAUAAGCCCACAGCUCGGCAUCGAGCAGAGGGAAAAGGAGCAAUCCGCUUUGAGAUGGCCUCGCGUCCGAUUAGCUAGUUGGUGAGGUAUGGCCCACCAAGGCAACGAUCGGUAGCCGGACUGAGAGGUUGAACGGCCACAUUGGGACUGAGACACGGCCCAGACUCCUACGGGAGGCAGCAGUGGGGAAUAUUGCACAAUGGGGGAAACCCUGAUGCAGCGACGCCGCGUGGAGGAAGAAGGUCUUCGGAUUGUAAACUCCUGUUGUUGAGGAAGAUAAUGACGGUACUCAACAAGGAAGUGACGGCUAACCACGUGCCAGCAGCCGCGGUAAAACGUAGGGUGCAAGCGUUGUCCGGAAUUACUGGGUGUAAAGGGAGCGCAGGCGGGAAGACAAGUUGGAAGUGAAAACCAUGGGCUCAACCCGUGAAUUGCUUUCAAAACUGUUUUUCUUGAGUAGUGCAGAGGUAGAUGGAAUUCCCGGUGUAGCGGUGGAAUGCGUAGAUAUCGGGAGGAACACCAGUGGCGAAGGCGGUCUACUGGGCACCAACUGACGCUGAGGCUCGAAAGCAUGGGUAGCAAACAGGAUUAGAUACCCUGGUAGUCCAUGCCGUAAACGAUGAUUACUAGGUGUUGGGGGAUUGACCCCCUCAGUGCCGCAGUUAACACAAUAAGUAAUCCACCUGGGGAGUACGACCGCAAGGUUGAAACUCAAAGGAAUUGACGGGGGCCCGCACAAGCAGUGGAGUAUGUGGUUUAAUUCGAAGCAACGCGAAGAACCUUACCAGGUCUUGACAUCCGAUGCAUAGCACAGAGAUGUGUGAAAUCCUUCGGGACAUCGAGGCAGGUGGUGCAUGGUUGUCGUCAGCUCGUGUCGUGAGAUGUUGGGUUAAGUCCCGCAACGAGCGCAACCCUUAUUGCCAGUUACUACGUUAAGAGGACUCUGGCGAGACUGCCGUUGACAAAACGGAGGAAGGUGGGGAUGACGUCAAAUCAUCAUGCCCUUUAUGACCUGGGCUACACACGUACUACAAUGGCGUUAAACAAAGAGAAGCAAGACCGCGAGGUGGAGCAAAACUCAAAAACAACGUCUCAGUUCAGAUUGCAGGCUGCAACUCGCCUGCAUGAAGUCGGAAUUGCUAGUAAUCGCGGAUCAGCAUGCCGCGGUGAAUACGUUCCCGGGCCUUGCACUCACCGCCCGUCA
RNAcentral lists this ribosomal RNA (1345 nucleotides) under uncultured bacterium. RNAcentral describes it as "16S ribosomal RNA". It matches the Rfam family "Bacterial small subunit ribosomal RNA", at positions 35 to 1399 of the family's 1533-position model. The record is from RNAcentral.